GAGGGUAUAGCUCAGUGAUAGAGCACAUGCUUAGCAUGCACGAGGUCCUGGGUUCAAUCCCCAGUGCCUCCC
RNAcentral lists this transfer RNA (72 nucleotides) under Camelus bactrianus (Bactrian camel). It matches the Rfam family "tRNA". Rfam says of the family: Transfer RNA (tRNA) molecules are approximately 80 nucleotides in length. Their secondary structure includes four short double-helical elements and three loops (D, anti-codon, and T loops). The record is from Rfam by way of RNAcentral. RNAcentral also lists the same sequence under 2 other names. Lineage: Eukaryota; Metazoa; Chordata; Mammalia; Artiodactyla; Camelidae.